RNAcentral lists this ribosomal RNA (197 nucleotides) under Seiridium cardinale. Its description in RNAcentral is "5.8S ribosomal RNA". The stretch from base 29 to 182 matches the Rfam family "5.8S ribosomal RNA". Rfam says of the family: 5.8S ribosomal RNA (5.8S rRNA) is a component of the large subunit of the eukaryotic ribosome. The record is from RNAcentral. Lineage: Eukaryota; Fungi; Ascomycota; Sordariomycetes; Amphisphaeriales; Sporocadaceae.
AUCUGAGCGUCUUAUUUUAAUAAGUCAAAACUUUCAACAACGGAUCUCUUGGUUCUGGCAUCGAUGAAGAACGCAGCGAAAUGCGAUAAGUAAUGUGAAUUGCAGAAUUCAGUGAAUCAUCGAAUCUUUGAACGCACAUUGCGCCCAUUAGUAUUCUAGUGGGCAUGCCUGUUCGAGCGUCAUUUCAACCCUUAAGG